Molecule: unclassified non-coding RNA, 233 nt
Filed under: uncultured Pholiota
Lineage: Eukaryota; Fungi; Basidiomycota; Agaricomycetes; Agaricales; Strophariaceae
Description: sequence contains ITS1
Source: RNAcentral
UUGAAUGAACUUGGCGUGAUUGUAGCUGGCCCUCUUGGGGGCAUGUGCACAUCCGUCGUCUUUAUCUCUCCACCUGUGCACACUUUGUAGGUCUGGAAUAACUUUCCGAGGAAACUCGGUCGUAGGGACUGCUGUUAAGGCUUUCCUUGCAUUUUCCAGGUCUAUGUUUUCAUAUACGCCAUAAGAAUGUAAUAGAAUGUUUUUAUUGGGCCUUGUUGCCUAUAAACUAUAUA